Danionella cerebrum is the source of this 89-nucleotide non-coding RNA. The record is from the annotation of a GenBank genome assembly. Lineage: Eukaryota; Metazoa; Chordata; Actinopteri; Cypriniformes; Danionidae.
GGUUCUGUGGCGCAAUGGACAGCGCAUUGGACUUCUUGGACAGAAGAAGGCGCAUUUAAAGGUUAAGGUUUCGAGUCGCACCAGAGUCA